This 554-nucleotide ribosomal RNA is filed under the name uncultured bacterium. RNAcentral describes it as "bacterial SSU rRNA". It matches the Rfam family "Bacterial small subunit ribosomal RNA", at positions 56 to 602 of the family's 1533-position model. The record is from RNAcentral.
UGCAGUCGAGCGGUAACAGGGGAGCUUGCUCCUGCUGACGAGCGGCGGACGGGUGAGUAACGCGUAGGAAUCUGCCUAGUAGAGGGGGACAACAUGUGGAAACGCAUGCUAAUACCGCAUACGCCCUGAGGGGGAAAGGAGGGGAUCACUUGUGACCUUCCGCUAUUAGAUGAGCCUGCGUGAGAUUAGCUAGUUGGUAGGGUAAAGGCCUACCAAGGCGACGAUCUCUAACUGGUCUGAGAGGAUGACCAGUCACACUGGGACUGAGACACGGCCCAGACUCCUACGGGAGGCAGCAGUGGGGAAUAUUGGACAAUGGGCGCAAGCCUGAUCCAGCCAUGCCGCGUGUGUGAAGAAGGCCUUAGGGUUGUAAAGCACUUUCAGGGGUGAGGAAGGGUGAGUCGCUAAUAUCGACUUAUCUUGACGUUAGCCCCAGAAGAAGCACCGGCUAACUCUGUGCCAGCAGCCGCGGUAAUACAGAGGGUGCAAGCGUUAAUCGGAAUUACUGGGCGUAAAGCGCGCGUAGGUGGUUUGUUAAGUCUGAUGUGAAAUCC